UACGUAGGGUGCGAGCGUUAAUCGGAAUUACUGGGCGUAAAGCGUGCGCAGGCGGUUUUGUAAGCCAGAUGUGAAAUCCCCGGGCUUAACCUGGGAAUGGCAUUUGGGACUGCAAGGCUUGAGUGCGGCAGAGGGGGAUGGAAUUCCGCGUGUAGCAGUGAAAUGCGUAGAUAUGCGGAGGAAUACCGAUGGCGAAGGCAAUCCCCUGGGCCUGCACUGACGCUCAUGCACGAAAGCGUGGGGAGCAAACAGG
RNAcentral lists this ribosomal RNA (253 nucleotides) under uncultured bacterium. RNAcentral describes it as "partial 16S ribosomal RNA". It matches the Rfam family "Bacterial small subunit ribosomal RNA", at positions 524 to 776 of the family's 1533-position model. The record is from RNAcentral.